GCCUGCGUAGCUCAGUAGGUAGAGCACAUCCAUGGUAAGGAUGGGGUCGCCGGUUCGAAUCCGUUCGCAGGCUCCA
Molecule: transfer RNA, 76 nt
Filed under: Eubacteriaceae bacterium
Lineage: Bacteria; Bacillati; Bacillota; Clostridia; Eubacteriales; Eubacteriaceae
Also listed under: 1 other name
Description: tRNA-Thr
Rfam family: tRNA
About the family: Transfer RNA (tRNA) molecules are approximately 80 nucleotides in length. Their secondary structure includes four short double-helical elements and three loops (D, anti-codon, and T loops).
Source: RNAcentral